Molecule: ribosomal RNA, 1648 nt
Filed under: Staphylococcus pseudintermedius
Lineage: Bacteria; Bacillati; Bacillota; Bacilli; Caryophanales; Staphylococcaceae
Description: partial 23S ribosomal RNA
Rfam family: Bacterial large subunit ribosomal RNA
Source: RNAcentral
UUCUAAGGGCGUUGAAGCAUGAUCGCAAGGACAUGUGGAGCGCUUAGAAGUGAGAAUGCCGGUGUGAGUAGCGAAAGACGGGUGAGAAUCCCGUCCACCGAUUGACUAAGGUUUCCAGAGGAAGGCUCGUCCGCUCUGGGUUAGUCGGGUCCUAAGCUGAGGCCGACAGGCGUAGGCGAUGGAUAACAGGUUGAUAUUCCUGUACCACCAUUAUUCGUUUUAAGCGAUGGGGGGACGCAGUAGGAUAGGCGAAGCGUGCUGUUGGAGUGCACGUCCAAGCAGUGAGAUUGAGUGUUAGGCAAAUCCGGCACUCUUAAGAUUGAGCUGUGAUGGGGAGAGGAACUUGUUCCUCGAGUCGUUGAUUUCACACUGCCGAGAAAAGCCUCUAGCUAGAAUAACGGUGCCCGUACCGCAAACCGACACAGGUAGUCAAGAUGAGAAUUCUAAGGUGAGCGAGCGAACUCUCGUUAAGGAACUCGGCAAAAUGACCCCGUAACUUCGGGAGAAGGGGUGCUCUUUGAGGUUCACGCUUCGAAGAGCCGCAGUGAAUAGGCCCAAGCGACUGUUUAUCAAAAACACAGGUCUCUGCUAAACCGUAAGGUGACGUAUAGGGGCUGACGCCUGCCCGGUGCUGGAAGGUUAAGAGGAGUGGUUAGCGCAAGCGAAGCUACGAAUCGAAGCCCCAGUAAACGGCGGCCGUAACUAUAACGGUCCUAAGGUAGCGAAAUUCCUUGUCGGGUAAGUUCCGACCCGCACGAAAGGCGUAACGAUUUGGGCACUGUCUCAACGAGAGACUCGGUGAAAUCAUAGUACCGGUGAAGAUGCCGGUUACCCGCGACAGGACGGAAAGACCCCGUGGAGCUUUACUGUAGCCUGAUAUUGAAAUUCGGUACAGUUUGUACAGGAUAGGUAGGAGCCUUAGAAGCGUGAGCGCUAGCUUACGUGGAGGCAUUGGUGGGAUACUACCCUAAUUGUAUUGGAUUUCUAACCCGCAGCACUUAUCGUGCUGGGAGACAGUGUCAGGCGGGCAGUUUGACUGGGGCGGUCGCCUCCUAAAGAGUAACGGAGGCGCUCAAAGGUUCCCUCAGAAUGGUUGGAAAUCAUUCAUAGAGUGUAAAGGCAUAAGGGAGCUUGACUGCGAGACCUACAAGUCGAGCAGGGUCGAAAGACGGACUUAGUGAUCCGGUGGUUCCGCAUGGAAGGGCCAUCGCUCAACGGAUAAAAGCUACCCCGGGGAUAACAGGCUUAUCUCCCCCAAGAGUUCACAUCGACGGGGAGGUUUGGCACCUCGAUGUCGGCUCAUCGCAUCCUGGGGCUGUAGUCGGUCCCAAGGGUUGGGCUGUUCGCCCAUUAAAGCGGUACGCGAGCUGGGUUCAGAACGUCGUGAGACAGUUCGGUCCCUAUCCGUCGUGGGCGUAGGAAAUUUGAGAGGAGCUGUCCUUAGUACGAGAGGACCGGGAUGGACAUACCUCUGGUGUACCAGUUGUCGUGCCAACGGCAUAGCUGGGUAGCUAUGUAUGGACGGGAUAAGUGCUGAAAGCAUCUAAGCAUGAAGCCCCCCUCGAGAUGAGAUUUCCCAACUUCGGUUAUAAGAUCCCUCAAAGAUGAUGAGGUGAAUAGGUUCGAGGUGGAAGCGUAGCGAUACGUG